Molecule: long non-coding RNA, 275 nt
Filed under: Gallus gallus (chicken)
Lineage: Eukaryota; Metazoa; Chordata; Aves; Galliformes; Phasianidae
Source: RNAcentral
UCCAGCUCUGGUCCUGUAGGUGUUUUGCUGCGGAUGAUGUUUUCUGUUUGCUGUAUUUGGAAACGACUGGUGUCUAAGGCUUUGUCCAGCUGUCGUAUAUGUGCUUCUAGGGAACCAGGUUCUCCAGAAGUAUUUUUGAGUGCGUUUUCUGUAAGUGUUACAUAGGCCUCAAGAGUUUCAGGGAUCUCUACAUCUGCUAUACUAGCUGCUCCUCUCAGAUAGAAAUCCUUCUCUUGUUCUCCAUCUUCUUCCUCAGAGUGCAGCGCCCGUGAAAC